Molecule: ribosomal RNA, 520 nt
Filed under: uncultured Burkholderia sp.
Lineage: Bacteria; Pseudomonadati; Pseudomonadota; Betaproteobacteria; Burkholderiales; Burkholderiaceae
Description: bacterial SSU rRNA
Rfam family: Bacterial small subunit ribosomal RNA
Source: RNAcentral
AGAGUUUGAUCCUGGCUCAGAGUGAACGCUGGCGGCAUGCCUUACACAUGCAAGUCGGACGGCAGCGCGGGAGCAAUCCUGGCGGCGAGUGGCGAACGGGUGAGUAAUACAUCGGAACAUGUCCAGUAGUGGGGGAUAGCCCGGCGAAAGCCGGAUUAAUACCGCAUACGAUCUAUGGAUGAAAGCGGGGGAUCGCAAGACCUCGCGCUAUUGGGGUGGCCGAUGGCGGAUUAGCUAGUUGGGGGGUAAAGGCCUACCAAGGCGACGAUCCGUAGCUGGUCUGAGAGGACGACCAGCCACACUGGGACUGAGACACGGCCCAGACUCCUACGGGAGGCAGCAGUGGGGAAUUUUGGACAAUGGGGGCAACCCUGAUCCAGCAAUGCCGCGUGUGUGAAGAAGGCCUUCGGGUUGUAAAGCACUUUUGUCCGGGAAGAAAUCCCCUGCCCUAAUACGGCGGGGGGAUGACGGUACCGGAAGAAUAAGCACCGGCUAACUACGUGCCAGCAGCCGCGGUAAA